AUUGAACGCUGGCGGCAUGCCUUACACAUGCAAGUCGAACGGUAACGGGCCUUCGGGUGCCGACGAGUGGCGAACGGGUGAGUAAUACAUCGGAACGUGCCCGACCGUGGGGGAUAACGAGGCGAAAGCUUUGCUAAUACCGCAUACGAUCUACGGAUGAAAGCAGGGGACCGCAAGGCCUUGCGCGGACGGAGCGGCCGAUGGCAGAUUAGGUAGUUGGUGGGAUAAAAGCUUACCAAGCCGACGAUCUGUAGCUGGUCUGAGAGGAUGAUCAGCCACACUGGGACUGAGACACGGCCCAGACUCCUACGGGAGGCAGCAGUGGGGAAUUUUGGACAAUGGGCGCAAGCCUGAUCCAGCCAUGCCGCGUGCAGGAUGAGGGCCUUCGGGUUGUAAACUGCUUUUGUACGGAACGAAAAGCCUUCUUUUAAUACAGGAGGGUCAUGACGGUACCGUAAGAAUAAGCACCGGCUAACUACGUG
RNAcentral lists this ribosomal RNA (482 nucleotides) under uncultured bacterium. Its description in RNAcentral is "partial 16S ribosomal RNA". It matches the Rfam family "Bacterial small subunit ribosomal RNA", at positions 30 to 507 of the family's 1533-position model. The record is from RNAcentral.